GUGGGGAAUCUUCCGCAAUGGGCGAAAGCCUGACGGAGCAACGCCGCGUGAGUGAAGACGGCCUUCGGGUUGUAAAGCUCUGUUAUAUGGGACGAACGGAUACGGUGCUAAUACCACCGUAUCGUGACGGUACUGUAAGAGAAAGCCACGGCUAACUACGUGCCAGCAGCCGCGGUAAUACGUAGGUGGCAAGCGUUGUCCGGAAUUAUUGGGCGUAAAGGGCGUGCAGGCGGCCAGGCAAGUCUGUCUUAAAAGUGCGGGGCUUAACCCCGGGAUGGGAUGGAAACUGUCAGGAUAGAGUGUCGGAGAGGAAAGCGGAAUUCCUAGGGUAGCGGUGAAAUGCGUAGAUAUUAGGAGGAACACCAGUGGCGAAAGCGGCUUUCUGGACGACAACUGACGCUGAGGCGCGAAAGCCAGGGGAGCAAACGGGAUUAGAAACCCGAGUAGUCC
This 450-nucleotide ribosomal RNA is filed under the name uncultured bacterium. RNAcentral's name for it is "partial 16S ribosomal RNA". It matches the Rfam family "Bacterial small subunit ribosomal RNA", at positions 354 to 796 of the family's 1533-position model. The record is from RNAcentral.